Molecule: long non-coding RNA, 457 nt
Organism: Drosophila takahashii
Lineage: Eukaryota; Metazoa; Arthropoda; Insecta; Diptera; Drosophilidae
Source: RefSeq, a predicted model, not a curated record
CAGGAACAACAAUUAAAUUUUAAUGAAGAAUAUAUAGAUCCUUCAAAUGACAAAUUCAAACACUAUUCAUUUAUUCAAUAUAAUUCAAGAAACAAAAAUGAAAUAGUAGAAGACCAAGAAACGCUUUUCUACUUACCUAGUAUGAAGGGCCAAUGCAAUAUUUGCGGUUUAAUAAAUUAUUGCUCCGUUAAACAUGCAAGCGAUUGCAUUCAAGAAAAUAACAACGUCAAGUGUUCGCAAUGCUACGUGUGCACGACGGAUUUCAAGAAAUUAAAGAAACAUAAGUGCUGUCAGGAUUCCUUCCUUAAAGCGGGGUUUAUAUUUUAAAGUGAAAAGUCACAACAACACAACUACUUGGACAAGAUACUAUCCCGAUGAAGAAGAAAAACGAAAUUUUAUUAUAUUAAGCUGUAACAUACAUGAUAUAGUUUUAGAAAAUAAACCAUAUAAAUUGUAA